Molecule: ribosomal RNA, 250 nt
Filed under: uncultured bacterium
Lineage: Bacteria
Description: partial 16S ribosomal RNA
Rfam family: Bacterial small subunit ribosomal RNA
Source: RNAcentral
UACGUAGGGGGCAAGCGUUGUCCGGAAUUAUUGGGCGUAAAGCGCGCGCAGGCGGCUUGUUAAGUCUGGUGUAUAAGUGCGGGGCUCAACCCCGUGAGGCACUGGAAACUGGCAGGCUUGAGUGCAGAAGAGGAGAGUGGAAUUCCACGUGUAGCGGUGAAAUGCGUAGAUAUGUGGAGGAACACCAGUGGCGAAGGCGACUCUCUGGGCUGUAACUGACGCUGAGGCGCGAAAGCGUGGGGAGCAAACA